RNAcentral lists this ribosomal RNA (464 nucleotides) under uncultured bacterium. RNAcentral's name for it is "partial 16S ribosomal RNA". It matches the Rfam family "Bacterial small subunit ribosomal RNA", at positions 28 to 507 of the family's 1533-position model. The record is from RNAcentral.
GACGAACGCUGGCGGCGUGCUUAACACAUGCAAGUCGUACGGUAAGGCCCUUUCGGGGGUACACGAGUGGCGAACGGGUGAGUAACACGUGAGUAACCUGCCCACAACUUUGGGAUAACGCUAGGAAACUGGUGCUAAUACUGGAUAUGUGCCCCUGCUGCAUGGUGGGGGUUGGAAAGCUCCGGCGGUUGUGGAUGGACUCGCGGCCUAUCAGCUUGUUGUGGGGUAGUGGCCUACCAAGGCGGCGACGGGUAGCCGGGCUGGGAGGGUGACCGGCAACAUUGGGACUGAGAUACGGCCCAGACUCCUACGGGAGGCAGCAGUGGGGAAUAUUGCACAAUGGGCGCAAGCCUGAUGCAGCAACGCCGCGUGCGGGAUGACGGCCUUCGGGUUGUAAACCGCUUUCAGCAGGGACGAAGCUUUUUGUGACGGUACCUGCAGAAGAAGCACCGGCUAACUACGUG